AUGAACACACAAACAAUAGAAACUAUUACAAAAUUUGUAAUGGUUUUAAUGGUUAUAAUGGGAAUUAUGUUGGUUGUAAUGGUCACAGUAAUGGUCCCUGUGGGUCUCUAUUGGUAAAUUGCUUUUUUCUAUUGGUGGUAUGUAUUGUCUUGGAUUGCCACCAUACGUCAUUUGGAAAGGUUAUUUUUAAUUCAUUUAAUUUUUUUUUUUUUUUUUUUUUUUAAAUCAACUCGACUCGUCAUGGCCUUCAAAAUUGACUUGAAAAGUUGGUCUUUGUUUUGUCUGUCGGAUUUGGUCCAAAUUUAGCCCAAAAAUAGAUGUGAAAUAACAGUGAAAUUCUGCGUGACUUCCACGUGCUGUAAUGUGCGCGCGCGCAGAACUGGAGCGGAGGACGUCACCAUGGAAACGAGGCGGCAGCCCAACCGUCAAGCAGCUGAUCGCUGACACUCAAUGUGGUUUCACUUUUUUUUUUUAGAAAUGGUUUAGCGUCGUCAGAAAAAGUCCGUUAGCAUCUCAAAGAAGUGCCAGAAAAAAACCUCUAUGACGCAGGAGAAGUUCCUGAUUUUAACAUUUCUGAAGGGGGCUGCUGACAGAGAGGAUGAAAACAUACACAUUUUGAUGUCCACGCUGUAGGAGCAUUACUAAAUAAUGCUUAUGUUCCUAGGUUCUUCCAUGCUGAUGGCUGUGCUCUAGAGUCAUAUCUCCUGUCGAAGAACAUUUUUAGACAUUAUGAACCAUGAAUAAGUUUAGCUCCAACCCCAGUUAAGCAGACCUGAGCAGCUGAUCAAGGAUCAGCAGAAACUCUGCAGAACGGUGGUCCUCCAGCCCAGGACUGGACACCAGUGUUAGUGUCUGUCUCAGAAGCUGAAGAAAAAAGGUCACACCUUAUAGGAAAUAAACGCCUCCUAAGUGUAUGGAAAUACCUGGCUGAGGAGAUCAGUGACAUAAACCAGAUAAAACUGUCAGUGGUCUGAGACAGCUACAAGCCACAAAAACAGUUCAUAGUUCCUGCAUUUCUAUAAUGCAUUAAUGAAUAACAAUAAUUAAAAUAAAAUGUAAUGUCAAGGUUUUGUGUUAAUUCCAGCUAUGUUGAGUAUUCUGUGAAUAAUUUUGAUUUUAGGUGCAUAUUCUUAAUUCUUUGCAAAACAACCUGAACUGUUUGCUAUUGAAAGGUUGGUAUGAAGUUUAAAUAAAUAAAAACAUUAUAUUCUUGACAAAACCUGUGUACAGUUUGUAUUAAUAAUUUAAAUUAUUUACUUAUAUUAAUUAAUGGCCUAAUUACCAGCUAUCAGUUAAACAUUCAAAUCAGAACCAAUAUAAAACUGCAACGAAAACUAUUAAAUAUAUGCAAAUAAAGACCAGUACAAACUUGCAAUGGAACCAUCAGAACCAUUACAAAACCAACGGAAACCAUUAAAUUUGUUUUAAUAAAGACCAAUACAAACUUGUAAUGGAACCAUCAGAACCAUUACAAAACCAACAGAAACCAUUAAAUUUGUUUUAAUAAAGACCAAUACAAACUUGUAAUGGAACAAUCAAAACCAUUACAAAACCAACAGAAACCAUUAAAUUUGUUUUAAUAAAGACCAAUACAAACUUGUAAUGGAACCAUCAGAACCAUUACAAAACCAACAGAAACCA
This is a long non-coding RNA of Carassius gibelio (silver crucian carp), 1641 nucleotides long. RefSeq lists it as uncharacterized. Lineage: Eukaryota; Metazoa; Chordata; Actinopteri; Cypriniformes; Cyprinidae. The transcript is spliced from 7 exons. The record is from RefSeq and is a predicted model, not a curated record.